Callithrix jacchus (white-tufted-ear marmoset) is the source of this 4215-nucleotide non-coding RNA. The record is from RefSeq and is a predicted model, not a curated record. Lineage: Eukaryota; Metazoa; Chordata; Mammalia; Primates; Cebidae.
CCUCUGAUUGUCUGCUUUCUGUAACCAGUCAGACUGAUUGCAGGCUAUCACUUCAUUUACAUGAGGUGAGCAUGAAGUGGCUGAUGGGAAACACCUAGGUGGUAUGUGGAACCAAGAAGAUUCUGUAUCCAGACCCUCCAGCCACUGCUCGGGCCUGCUCCCACACUGUGGAGUGUACUUUCAUUUUCAAUAAAUCCCUGCUUUCGUUCUUUUGUUGCUUCAUUCUUUGCUUUGCUGGGCAUUUUGUCCAAUUCUUUGUUCAAAAUGCCAAGAACCUGGACAACUUGCAGUAAGGACCCUCUACCAGUGACAUAUCUUUGCAAUCCAGCCAGGAGAAAAGUACCCUCGUGGACAGCACUUAAGCAUGGAGGCAACUAAGUUUCUGGCCAGGGCCACUCUCUGGUGAAACUAAAAGUUUCCACGUGGAAGCACCUGACUGCUACCACCCAGUUCAGAGACCAUCACGCUUCAGAUGAUCAUGUGACAAGGUUUCCAGCCAGCUCCAGGUGAAGGCACCACCCCCCCAGCCAUCAAGGAGCCACCUGUCUCCACUAGACAGAAUAGGGCUUCUGGACCUGUGAUGGGAGGAGCUGCCAUGAAGACCUCUGACAUACCCUGGGGCCUCAGCCAUGAACCUAGUGAAGAGUGAGGAAAACACGUCUUUACCUCCUUCACCACGAGAAAGCUGUGGAAGACAAAGCAGUGAAAUAGAACAGCCCUCUGGGGUCCCAACAACCUGGGCAGAAGGUUGUGGGGAAGGUCUCACUUGAACUGGUUCUGACUAAGUGAGCCUUGUGUUCUCUGGACUUGGUGAAUAUUGAAACCACAUAUUCCUCAUAUUCAUGGAACAUGUUUCAAGGGAGAAAACAUAAUUUCCUUUUUAGGUUCUUAGUCAAGACACUCUCCUGAAAACAAGUUGUAUUAACAAAAGAAAAACAGAAGUUUGUUAACACGUGUUGUACCCAUCAUGUGGGACCUGUGUCAGUCUGAAAGUAUUUCUCUCUCAAGGCAGCAGCUUAGGGGUCUUAUUUAAACAGUACUUUAACAAAGAGCCAUAAAUCCUAUAGAGACAAGGACAAAGAAGCAGGCAGGAAAAUGUGGGAAGGUAAAUUUAUGAGAAAAGUACAGUCUGCUCCUAGAUGCUAUGGUGCUGCUGUCUCUGAGCUCUGUGCCUGAGCUGAUAAAGGCAGACGGGAGAGGCAGACUGUGCCCUUGCACUUUAACCUUUUAGCUUUAACUAAAAUCCCCAGGAUUUUAGAGAAGAAUAUUUUUUUUUUGCUUCAUUCAACUUCAAUAAACUAUGAAAAUCCCAUCAUGAGCACUCACGUCACAAGCACCACACUCCUUCUGGUCACACCAUUCUAACCUUUCCAUGCCAUGUGACAUCUUCGUUAGCCUCCAAUAAUCAGAUGUCUCCUCCCUGGGUAUGCUGCUUUGGUCCCUCUGCCCUCUGCGCAGACCUAUUGAACACUCCAAGCCAGAUCCCUCUCCUACAUGGCUUAUAUCUGGUCCACACACACACUCAGACAUCCUUUUCCCUGACAUGGGAAGGCAGGCUAAUCCCAAGGCUGCCCGGAUCUGGCCCUUCUUUCCACAUCAGAAUUUCUCAGACUGGCAUCUUCUGUUGCCAAACUGAGCUUGGAUCAGCCUGCUUGGCAAGGCAAGGCCAAACACUGACAUUGGGACUGCAGUGGAAGAAGUGAGGCAUUUAUUGCAGGAUGCCAACCAAGGAGAUCAGGCAGCAGCUAAUGCUUACCACCUGAACUCCCUAAUGUCUUACAGGUCAGAGUUGUUUUUGUUUUUUGUUUUUAAGACAGAGUCUUGCUCUGUCACCCAGGCUGGAGUACACUGGUGAGAUUACUGCUAACUGCAGCCUCAACCUCCAAGACCCAGGUGAUCCUCCUUCAGCCUUAAAAGUAGCUGGGACCACAGGCAUGUGCCACCACACCUGGCUAAUUUUUUUUAAUUAUUUGUAGAGGCAGGGAUUCCCUAUGUUGCCUAGGCUGAUCUCUAACUCCUGGGCUCAAAUGAUUCUCCCACCUUAGCCUCCCAAAGUACUGGGAUUACAGGCAUGAGCCACCCUACCUGGCCAGGUAAAAGUUUUUAAAGCAGAGAGGCAGAGGUUAUAGGCACAGUUAUAAAUCAAUGCAUGGAAGUUAUACAUUGGAUUGACCUAAAAAGGCAAGAUAUCUCUAAGCAGGGGCCCACAGGUCAUAGAUGGAUUAAAAGAUUUUCUGAUUUGCAAUUGGUUAAGAAGACAAAGCUUUGUCUAAAAAUGCAGGAUCAGCAAAGACUGAGAUCUGGCUCAUGGGUGUGAAUUCCAGGCUUCUCAGGAAAUUUAGAACAAAGAACAGUGGGCAGAACCCAGUCCUCAGUUCCUCCUCAUCUGCGGUCUGUGCACUAGUAGAUACAUGUGAUGGGGGCCUGGGUUUCUGAAAAAUAACAUAUGUUAAGAAAUUAUUUUUAGCUUUUAUAGGGAGCCAAAUAUAUGCUAACUCUAACUUCCUUGCCUAUUGUUUUAAGCUACUAUUACCUUCUUGCUUAUGAUAUUGGUCAUCUACUUCUCAUAACUAGCUAGGUGGUCAGAAUUCCCUGGAAGAAACUCAAGAUUUUUAUUCAUUUUCAUUCUUGGACUGCCCACAAGCCCCUAAGAAGGGUCAAGGGUAAGGAGGUCAAGGGUCAUGAAGCCGUUUCUUUACAUUUCCCUUGAAGAAUCACUCUAAGGUAAUUGGGCACCACACUGGAAUUUCAUGUUUAUCCUAUGUUAGUGCUUAGUGGGAUCUUCAGUUUUCACAUUGUUACGUAAAAGAAAGGGCAAGGCCAGCUGUGUCAGCCAGGACUUGGUGUCUGAGGGUGAGGGAUCAUACACAAAGAAUGCUGAAGCAGAGUAAGCCAAAGAUGCACGAGCUUUGAAAGUAUCCAAGCCAAAAAGUCAGAAAACACACACACUGCGGCAGGACCUAGGGCAGGAAGGGCAUCAUAAACAUGGGACAGAAUAAAACAUCAGAAUCUGAACCAAAAUUAAGUUGGAAUAAGAAAAAGCAAUGAGUGAGAUUUGGGGCCAUUUCAGCCCAUAAUCCAGUGCUUAAUAAGAUGAAAAACAGAAGUGAGUAUUUUACUUUAAUUUCCUACAGCAAGUUAGUUCUCUGGUUAAGGUAGAUACAACCAAAUUCUCUGGAAAUGGCAACCAGUCCCUAGAGAUUUAUGUUAGACAAGAUAUAGACUCCCAACACUACCCAUUCCCCUACAACAGGAAAACAGCAUUCCCAAACCCAGAAGCUGCUGGUCUUAGAAGCUCAAGUUUCAUGAUAGUCAACCUACUUGGAAACAGCUUUCAUCCUCAUAACCACUCCUCUCCCAUCUCAAUAUUCGUUGUCUCUGCUCAUCCGCCAUAUCAAAGGGUGGCACUUGAAUGCUCAUUCCCACCAAUAAUCGAACUAAUGAGAGCUUAGUCCAUGGUGUUUUAGUAACAAUCUUCUAACAGUGUUUAGGAAAUGGAAAUUGUCUGCUGCUCCCACACUCAGCCUAUAACUGCAUGCUCAGUGGGCCUGACUGAACUCUGGACCACCAGACAGGUGUUAGCAAGGAAAGCAAGGUCGUAUAGUGUGUCUUUUAGUACCAGUGGCCACUAUGGUUUUACUGUAUUUAAUGCAUUUAAAGCUGGUGACUUCUACCUACUAUCCACCUAUCUUCUUAUCUACCUUUCUUCGUAUUUACCUACCUACCUAUACUAGUUUGUUAUGGCUGCCAUUACCUACCACAAACUGGGUGACUUAGAACAACAGAAAUUUGUUCUCUCACAAUUCUGGAAACUAGCAGCCUGCAACAGUGUUAGCAGGGCUGGUUCCCUCUAAGGGGUAUGUUGUAGUUUGAAGAUGCCAGGUGCUGAAACUUAAUGGCCAAUGCCAUAGCAGUAAGAGGUGCAGCCUCUAAGAGGUGGUUAGGCUGUAAGGGCUCCUCCCUCAUGAAUGGGAUUAAGACCCUUAGAAAAGAGGUGUCAAGCAGUGUUCUGCCCUUUGCACCUGCCCUUCUCUAUUUAAGGACACAGUGUUCCUCCUCUCAGGAGGAUACAGCAAGAUGGCAGGCAGCACCUUGCAGACAGAGACCAUGCCCCUCACGUCUUGAUCUUGGACUUCCCAGCCUCCAGAACUGUAAGAAAUAAAUUUCUGUUCAUUAUAAAUUACUUGUUCUAUAGCAUUUUGUUAUAGCAGUACA